GGUUGGAGUGUACAACGUUUCUGGCCUGCUCACCUCCUCUCCCCUUAAACACCAGGUUAUUUAUGUUCUUCUCUAAUCUCUACUGUAUUGUUCCUCUAAUUGCUUCCCCUUUCGAUUGCAGUACAUUUGGUUUCUGUUGAUCUCGUUUUCUUGGAUUGCGUAGUUCUAAUUCAUCAAGUUAUUUUCGUGAUUUUCCCUGUAUCAUGUCGGCCUUGACGAUGAGCGAGAGAUGGUUGAUGACCGCGGCGGGCGAUGCAAAGGAGGAGGCUGCGCCGUCAGCGGUUCAAGGAUGCAGAAGAUGAUGCGGAGGAGGCGGCCGAAAGGACGAGGCGGAGGGACCGGGGGACUGGAUCCUCGAUCGCAUGCCUAUCAGAUGGUGUGCGCCGCUACUGCUUCAUACCAGGCGUGAGCACACAAUUCGUGGGCAUCACCAGUUCCACUGCUCUGUCUGAAUGGCUCGGACCCCUCUUUGACCGACCUCCGCUGCCAUGAUCUCCGUCUCGCCAUGUGUCCUUGGUAUUCCUGUGAAUCAGUCCCUUUCUUAUGAAGAAUUUGGCGGGGCACUUGCCUACUGUAACUCUCUAAUAGUGAUGACUCCGAGACAACAAUCAGCAGUAGUUCAGUAAGUCUAGCAUAACAAGAAAAUUACGGAAUUUACAAACCUGAGGAAACUCCCUCGAUAAGGCAAGCUCCCACUAUCCAGUUACUCUUGGGACACUGGUUGUCAAAUAUCUCUGAAUUUGAACUUGAACUACUCAAACUGCAGAGAGUACACAAAGAAAAGUUUGAGGCAUUAAGAUUGAAUCUGUUAUAUUAGGCUUCAAGCUUUGACAGGUGCAGUCAAAGGUAAAGCUUUUGGCUGCUUUUAGUAGCUCUUGCGCUCCUAUAGUUUUUCAUCUCGCACGAAAGAAUGAGGGAUUACAGGUCCCAGUCUAGAUAAAGUGCAAAAUGACUGCCACCUCCUAGUGCCAAAUAGUCAGCACAGCACAAG
Molecule: long non-coding RNA, 991 nt
Organism: Lolium rigidum
Lineage: Eukaryota; Viridiplantae; Streptophyta; Magnoliopsida; Poales; Poaceae
Exons: 3
Source: RefSeq, a predicted model, not a curated record